UUAAUACCCACGGACGAUGACAUUAGCUGCAGAAUAAGCACCGGCUAACUCUGUGCCAGCAGCCGCGGUAAUACAGAGGGUGCAAGCGUUAAUCGGAAUUACUGGGCGUAAAGGGAGCGUAGGUGGCUCUAUAAGUCAGAUGUGAAAUCCCCGGGCUUAACCUGGGAACUGCAUCUGAAACUGUAGAGCUAGAGUAUGUGAGAGGAAGGUAGAAUUCCAGGUGUAGCGGUGAAAUGCGUAGAGAUCUGGAGGAAUACCGAUGGCGAAGGCAGCCUUCUGGCAUAAUACUGACACUGAGGCUCGAAAGCGUGGGUAGCAAACAGGAUUAGAUACCCUGGUAGUCCACGCCGUAAACGAUGUCUACUAGUCGUUGGGUCCCUUGAGGACUUAGUGACGCAGCUAACGCAAUAAGUAGACCGCCUGGGGAGUACGGCCGCAAGGUUAAAACUCAAAUGAAUUGACGGGGGCCCGCACAAGCGGUGGAGCAUGUGGUUUAAUUCGAUGCAACGCGAAGAACCUUACCUGGUCUUGACAUAUCUAGAAUCCUGCAGAGAUGCGGGAGUGCCUUCGGGAAUUAGAAUACAGGUGCUGCAUGGCUGUCGUCAGCUCGUGUCGUGAGAUGUUGGGUUAAGUCCCGCAACGAGCGCAACCCUUGUCCUUAGUUACCAGCGGGUUAAGCCGGGAACUCUAAGGAUACUGCCAGUGACAAACUGGAGGAAGGCGGGGACGACGUCAAGUCAUCA
Molecule: ribosomal RNA, 743 nt
Filed under: Psychrobacter fozii
Lineage: Bacteria; Pseudomonadati; Pseudomonadota; Gammaproteobacteria; Moraxellales; Moraxellaceae
Description: bacterial SSU rRNA
Rfam family: Bacterial small subunit ribosomal RNA
Source: RNAcentral